Molecule: transfer RNA, 81 nt
Filed under: Candidatus Taylorbacteria bacterium RIFCSPHIGHO2_01_FULL_43_47
Lineage: Bacteria; Candidatus Tayloriibacteriota
Also listed under: 3 other names
Description: tRNA-Leu
Rfam family: tRNA
About the family: Transfer RNA (tRNA) molecules are approximately 80 nucleotides in length.
Source: RNAcentral
GCUGGGGUGGUGAAAUGGCAGACACGCCAGCCUUAGGAGCUGGUGCCGCAAGGCAUGGAGGUUCAAGUCCUCUCCCCAGCA